UCAAGUCCCCCUUCAAGAGAUUGAGAACUUGUAGCAUUACCAUUCGAGGACGAGCUAGUUUUGCAACCGCAAUUAUGCUUUCUGGAUGGAUGUCCUUUUGCCGCAUUCGUCUUGCUUUACUCGAGGCAAGAAGGAGAACGGGAAUAAGACCCCGGCGCGGUUUGCGCCAAGGACGGUUGUUGUCGGAGGGCACCGCUGCUUUAUGUGGUACGGUGUAUCCUCCUACUAGGUUGAGAAUAUGCAUGACUCUUGGCAACGGAUAUCUAGGCUCUCGCGUCGAUGAAGAACGUAGCAAAAUGCGAUACUUGGUGUGAAUUGCAGAAUCCCGUGAACCAUCGAGUCUUUGAACGCAAGUUGCGCCUUAGACCAUCAGGUCAAGGGCACGCCUGCUUGGGCGUCACGCCUUGCGUCACUCCAAAAACCUACCCACUUAAACCAUUAUGUGGGUACCGUUGUGUGCGGAUGUGGAUAUUGACCCUUCGUGCUUUCGAUGUGCGUCGGGUUUGAGUGACGGUCGUUGCCAGGUUUUGCGUGCGGCGAAUGGUGGAUAGAUUAUGCGCAUGCAUCGAGCCUCCAGUUGCGCACGUGACUCCUAGCCAAGACUUACAAGAAGUUAAAGCCCAUAACGGUGUUUGCACAUUUUGCAAGAUCGGACC
RNAcentral lists this unclassified non-coding RNA (656 nucleotides) under Allium paradoxum. RNAcentral's name for it is "sequence contains ITS1, 5.8S rRNA gene, ITS2". The stretch from base 245 to 400 matches the Rfam family "5.8S ribosomal RNA". The record is from RNAcentral. Lineage: Eukaryota; Viridiplantae; Streptophyta; Magnoliopsida; Asparagales; Amaryllidaceae.